Molecule: unclassified non-coding RNA, 200 nt
Filed under: Sagenomella sp.
Lineage: Eukaryota; Fungi; Ascomycota; Eurotiomycetes; Eurotiales; Trichocomaceae
Description: partial internal transcribed spacer 2
Source: RNAcentral
UUAAGUUCAGCGGGUAUCCCUACCUGAUCCGAGGUCAACCUUAGAGAAGAUUGGGGGUGAGACAGGCCCCGGCCGGAUCCUCACAGAGCGGGUGACAAAGCCCCAUACGCUCGAGGACCGGACGCGACGCCGCCACUGCCUUUCAGGCCUGUCCCCCCAAAAAAGGGGGGGGACAGCGCCCAACACACAAGCCGCGCUUG